GCAAGGGUGAAACCACACAGGGGAGUCAGUGCAAGCGUCAUGGCCUCAGCCACAUCACACACUCUUGCAAAGAGGCUCCCUUGGGAAAGGGCCUUCACGGGCACUCUGAGAAAGCAAUGCUGUCAUCUGGCUCUUUCUGUCUCGGUUCUAGAGCCUUUCGUCCGGGAGUUGGGGCGAAUGUGCCUGGCGUUGCACCAGGUCGGCUUUAAUCGCCGAAGCGACCGCCCUGACCAUCAGAGUGUGUUCACAUUAUCUUUCUUAGCUGCCCUUGUUUGCAUCUGGGUCAUGCUUGCACAGGAAGUUUGUGGCAUCAGGGCCUCUGAGAAGCCCUCUGAGAGCUAUGGGAGAGUGUUUAGGGUCAGAGAACGCUGCAGGAGAAGUGAUGAGGGCCAAAGGGAGACAGCAAUGGGGAACAGACUCCAGAUGGUUUCGGGCAGAGGACACUUCUGCUGUUGUUUUGGGGAUGAACGCAAGGAGAGAUUAACAGAUAUUGGUAUCAGAUGCUUAAAAGGCUUACUGCAAAUUCUCUUUAAAAAAUCUGUAUAAGUCCAAAAAGAGAGGCCUAAGAAAAUAGCAGCAAACAGGACACUGUUCUCAGAUAUGCUCUGAGUACAAAUCUCUUGUGAAAACCUCUGGGCCGGAGCUGUGAUAUGACUGCGCCUUAGAUAGGAUAAGAAAAUCUGAGGUUUUUGAUAGAUCGUUUAAGCAAAAGACAGUCUCCAAAGGACGUGGAAAUUCCAUCCUCCAAAAAAAGAGGGGGCUGUUCUCACAGACAGUGGGAAGAUGAGCUGCACAGAGUGUUUGCGACUGAUAAUGGCGAAGGAGAAAUAAGGCAAAUGUUCUCACAAAAAGUGUGUUUGGUAGCAUUAAAGAAUGACAAGUCAGUAAGGCUGAACACCUGUUCUCCUUCUGGAGAUGGAACAGUCUCAAGGGCCACAGGGAGAUCACGGAAGCUCGGGACACACAGAAUCAGUGGGGCAGGCGAAAGAAGACGCGAAUGGAAGACACAGGAGAGAAAUACGUCAAGACAUGUGACACCCAAGAGAUGUUGUAUGAUGUGGCUAGUUCUUCUACAAUGCUACAGAAGAAAGGAAAAGAAACUGAAAAGAAAUUACAUGUCCAAAGGGACAGAACGGCAGAGUUGGAUCUAAAUUCCAGCCGGGGGACUCCAGAGCCUUUAUUCUUCUUUCCACUGAACUCCACCAAUCAGUGACUGUGAAUCUCGGUCAGCUGACACGAGCCAGCUCUGUUCAGGAGUAAAUGGUAAGCAUUUUCCUAGAACGUCCCUUCUCAGAUAAAUUUGGAGACUAUAGAAGGUAGGCAAUUUAUGACUCACUUUCCUUUCUUCUUAUGUGUGCAUGUAUGUAUUUUAAAUCUUGAAACCAAUCACUCAAAAACUGCCCUAGUGUUGCACAGUGCAGGUUUACAUAACUGGUUUUCAACCAAAGAUUAUUUUAACUCACGGAGACAUCUGGCACCAUCUGGAGAAAUUAUUGGUUCUCACAACUGGGGUGACAUCUACCCUCUAUCUAGUGGGUAGAGGCUAGGGAUGUGGCUAAAUAUCCUGUAAAACACAGAGCAAGACCACAGGAAUUUUCUACCCUCCAAAUUGAACCACAGUGCUGUGGUAAGAAACCGGCAGGAGACCCAUCAAGGGCGUCAUGAAGCAUGAGCCUCAGGAGGGGUCUUGAAGAUUGUCUAGCUCAGUUUCCUCUUAGAUGAAUAAACUGUGUCUCCAGGAGGAGACGUGGAAUCCUAGUGAGGAAUGAAACCUAGAAGGUUGAUUCUUGGUUAAAAAAUGUUCAAAAGCAAGUGCUGAAACUCAGGAAUUCUUACAUGACCCCAUUUCCCCCACAGAUUUGUUUACAUCUUGUUCUGAAAUCCUCUCCUUCCUGGCAAGUCCUGUUAGGAGACCCCCCCCACUCACUGAUCCCAAAAGUUGCCUCUCUUCUCUUUCUUCUGCUUAUUGUUUCUAUGUUGACAGUUUAACCCAUCCAGUUCUAUCACUUACUUCUCUUUAAAUAAACCUUUAAUCCAAGUUCAAUAUACAAUAGUAAAGUACAGAAAUAGUGAGCAUGAUUGGUAAAUAUUUACAAAGUGAACAAUUCCUAUAAUCACAACCUGAUUCAAGAGCUAGGACCUUACCAGCACCCCAGAAGUCCUCCUUAUCCUUCUGCUCAAAGGCAACUUCUACCCUGUCUUUUAAUGGCAGAGGCUCAUUUUGCCUGUGUUUGAGCCAUAUAUGGAUUGAACUAUAUGCAUUAUUUAUUUAUUAUUUCCCUUCUUUUACUACACUGUAGUGUGUAGCACUAAUGCAUUCUUUCUCUUUGCUAUAUAAUAUUCCAUUAAUAGAUAUACCACUAUUUAUUUAUGCAUGCUACCAUUGCUUUGUUUCUAGUUUGGACUAUAAUGAAAAACAUGUCACUACUGUGAGCAAUUUUGUACAUCUCUUUAUGUGGAUGACACAUUCAUUUCUGUUAUGUCUACACUUUGGUGUGGGAUUGCUGGGUCCCAGGGUUAGUUGAUAGUGCCAAAAUAUAUUCUGAACUGGUCGGGCCAAUUUAUACUCCCAUCAAUAAUGUAAGUGAUUUCCAGUUGCUCUACCUCCUUGCCAAUACCUGGUAAACCUCCAUCUUUUUUUUUUUACCCAUAGGUCACUACAGAGUCUGGGAAAUGGAAGCCCAGGAUUAAGACUGAAAAAAACCCAAUAACCCACAAAUUGUGGUUAAAUGACUAAAUAGAGUUUCCACAGAUAGGUUAAAAAGAAUACAGAAGAUUCAGUUAAAUUUGAGUAAGUAUGUCCCAAGCAAUCCAAGCAUACUGAGGCAAUAAAAAAUUAUUUAUUCUU
Molecule: long non-coding RNA, 2848 nt
Organism: Manis javanica (Malayan pangolin)
Lineage: Eukaryota; Metazoa; Chordata; Mammalia; Pholidota; Manidae
Source: RefSeq, a predicted model, not a curated record